CCUACGGGAGACAGCAGUGGGGAAUAUUGCACAAUGGGGAAAACCCUGAUGCAGCGACGCCGCGUGAGUGAAGAAGUAUUUCGGUAUGUAAAGCUCUAUCAGCAGGGAAGAAGAAAGACGGUACCUGACUAAGAAGCCCCGGCUAACUACGUCCCAGCAGCCGCGGUAAUACGUCGGGGGCAAGCGUUAUCCGGAUUUACUGGGUGGAAAGGGAGCGUAGACGGCUGUGCAAGUCUGAGGUGAAAGCCCAGGGCUCAACCCUGGGACUGCUUUGGAAACUGUGGAGCUAGAGUGCUGGAGAGGUAAGUGGAAUUCCUAGGGUAGCGGUGAAAUGCGUAGAUAUUAGGAGGAACAUCAGUGGCGAAGGCGGCUUACUGGACAGUAACUGACGUUGAGGCUCGAAAGCGUGGGGAGCAAACAGGAUUAGAUACCCGAGUAGUC
RNAcentral lists this ribosomal RNA (441 nucleotides) under uncultured bacterium. Its description in RNAcentral is "partial 16S ribosomal RNA". It matches the Rfam family "Bacterial small subunit ribosomal RNA", at positions 338 to 795 of the family's 1533-position model. The record is from RNAcentral.